Molecule: long non-coding RNA, 1075 nt
Organism: Bos taurus (domestic cattle)
Lineage: Eukaryota; Metazoa; Chordata; Mammalia; Artiodactyla; Bovidae
Source: Ensembl
CGGGCAGGGCUCCCCGGCGGCCGGGCUGCGCCCCGGGCGGCGGCGGGGGCUUUGAGCCUGCCAGGGUGCUAACGGCCCCGACGGGGUGCCCGCGGCCGCACCGCUGGCUGCGGCCAGCCCGACACUCACCGUGGCUCGCCGGGAGCGCCCGCGCCCGCGCCCCCACUCGGAUCCCGCGGCGGCGGCGGCGCCAAUCCUAGAGCCCGAAGAGAGCCGGUCUCGGCGACCGCCCCCGGCCAAUCCCCGCGCGGCUUGGCGGCCUGAUAGCCAGUUGUGUGGCAGCAAGAGAGGCCGCUGACCAAUGGCGAGGCGGCGAGGGCCGGUUUACCUGCUACUUUCCCGCCACCAAUCGCUUGGCGCACAGAAGCACACGCCCCAAGGAGAGGACCAAUCGAUGCGUUUUCCCUGGAUUUCCUCGCCCCUGUCCUCUCUCUUUCGCCUGGUCUCCCGUUAGCCUUGGCCACUGCGGGUCCAGACGCCGCACUCUUUGCAGUCGCUUGAGAUGUCCUUCUCUAGGUUCCUGACUUGCUUCUGGGUCACGGCUCUCACUCCUCCUCCUUACCCUUUUUUCACUCGGGGUAUCCUGACUAAAGAAACAUUUCCUCGUUCCCCUACCUCCAACUCCAUCUAGGAAACCAGUUUUAGGAACACAGAGUGCCAGAUCCUUCCCAAAACAUCCUGGUUUGCCAAAGUCCAAACGAGAGAAGAAAUACUUGGUAUUUCUAGAAGGUUUUUCAAUUCAAGUGUUCUUACGUUCUUUUCGUUCGUCCUGACCUCCAAGCAUCCGAUUGGAGCUGUCUUUCCUGUUCAAAAGAGAAAACUCUAGCCUGGAGCGAUUCCAGUGCUUUUCCUUUCAGUGGCCGCACUACUGUGUGGCAUACAACUUCCCAGUGGCUCUGUUUCUACCGUAGAAAAGCUGUCCAAGGAGUGAGACGGAAGGAAACAAAUACUUGCAGAAAAUAAACGUUUCAUAACAAGAUACAACUUGAGUACUGAGAGGAGGAAGAAUCUUAUUUUUGCAUCUCAAGCACUUAACAGAGGGCCUUUAACACAAAGAGCUCCCUACCCUUUUAGA